UUCAGCCAUCUGGUCGCUAGGGUCCAAAUUAACCUAGCAACCAUGCAUUGAUUGGUGAUGGAAUAUGAAUAGGGGAGGGUCUGAAUAGAGAGGUGAGUAUUCAAAAGUAGCAAUAACGAUAAAUGUGUAACUUUAGGGUUUGACCAGAUUCAUGAGAUUAGUCGCCGCAAAGAAGAAGAGAUUUGUCCGAAUCUGCCCAUGUGGCCAGACCCUUACAGAGCAUUUGUUUUUAGAUGGGGUCAGUGACCCCCAUUUGAAUGCUAGAAAGACAAAGGCAAAUCAUUCAAAAACUAUACAAAAUAAAUAAUGAAGAUCAAUUGAAAAGUUGUUAAGGCUUGCCCACGCUAUAGCAUACUAAAAGUUAAUUUUAAGGUGAAUCACCCCUUUAUCGUGCGUCUUGGCUGUUCCGAUUUGAAUUCUAACCAUGUGCCUUUCUCCGUCAGCCUUUUCUGUGGAUAAAUGACAUCAGAGAUAUCCGGAUGAGAAGUCUCCCUCUUCCUGGUGUAAACAGUAGGCUUGCUAAGGAUGCUGGGAGAUGUGAAUCUGACAUCGUUGAAAAGCCUAGAUAAAGGGACCUCGUCAUAGUCUAAACAUAUUUUAGAGCCCGAAAAAAAAAAACCUCGAAUUCGUCGGAUUCUUCCAUUGCUGGUAUGGGUGAACGUUUCGACUUAAAGGGCCGGAAACACCAACACAGAACAAGGCAUUUAUCAAUAAUGAACAUACGGACCUGCCUUAUGAACAGAGGGCCGAGGAGCCAAGUACAAUAAACAGGAUUCCAGCCAAAAUUCUACACUUCCCUCUGCAGCCACAGACGAUGGAUUCAUACCUAAAGAAAAGGUACAGAAGGUACAGCAGCAACAAAUAUCUCUAAGGUCCUGCAGUUCACAGGAUUUAUAGUGUAUACGGAAAUGGGAUCUGUUAUCCAGAAUGCUUAGGACCUUCGGUUU
Long non-coding RNA from Xenopus laevis (African clawed frog), 947 nucleotides. RefSeq lists it as uncharacterized. The transcript is spliced from 3 exons. The record is from RefSeq and is a predicted model, not a curated record. Lineage: Eukaryota; Metazoa; Chordata; Amphibia; Anura; Pipidae.